UCCGCCACACUGGGACUGAGACACGGCCCAGACUCUACGGGAGGCAGCAGUGGGGAAUUUUGGACAAUGGGCGCAAGCCUGAUCCAGCCAUGCCGCGUGUCUGAAGAAGGCCUUCGGGUUGUAAAGGACUUUUGUCAGGGAGGAAAUCCCUAGCGCUAAUAUCGCUGGGGGAUGACAGUACCUGAAGAAUAAGCACCGGCUAACAACGUGCCAGCAGCCGCGGUAAUACGUAGGGUGCAAGCGUUAAUCGGAAUUACUGGGCGUAAAGCGUGCGCAGGCGGUUGUGUAAGUCUGAUGUGAAAGCCCCGGGCUUAACCUGGGAACUGCAUUGGAGACUGCACGGCUAGAGUGCGUCAGAGGGGGGUAGAAUUCCGCGUGUAGCAGUGAAAUGCGUAGAGAUGCGGAGGAAUACCGAUGGCGAAGGCAGCCCCCUGGGAUGACACUGACGCUCAUGCACGAAAGCGUGGGGAGCAAACAGGAUUAGAUACCCUGGUAGUCCACGCCCUAAAC
Molecule: ribosomal RNA, 510 nt
Filed under: uncultured bacterium
Lineage: Bacteria
Description: bacterial SSU rRNA
Rfam family: Bacterial small subunit ribosomal RNA
Source: RNAcentral